CCUACGGGAGGCAGCAGUGAGGAAUAUUGGUCAAUGGACGAGAGUCUGAACCAGCCAAGUAGCGUGAAGGAUGACUGCCCUAUGGGUUGUAAACUUCUUUUAUAAAGGAAUAAAACGAGGCACGUGUGCCGUUUUGCAUGUACUUUAUGAAUAAGGAUCGGCUAACUCCGUGCCAGCAGCCGCGGUAAUACGGAGGAUCCGAGCGUUAUCCGGAUUUAUUUGGUUUAAAGGGAGCGUAGAUGGGUUGUUAAGUCAGUUGUGAAAGUUUGCGGCUCAACCGUAAAAUUGCAAUGGAUACUGGCAGUCUUGAGUACAGUUGAGGUAGGCGGACUUCGUGGUGUAGCGGUGAAAUGCUUAGAUAUCACGAAGAACCCCGAUUGCGAAGGCAGCUUACUAAACUGUGACUGACAUUGAUGCUCGAAAGUGUGGGUAUCAAACAGGAUUAGAUACCCGAGUAGUC
RNAcentral lists this ribosomal RNA (460 nucleotides) under uncultured bacterium. RNAcentral's name for it is "partial 16S ribosomal RNA". It matches the Rfam family "Bacterial small subunit ribosomal RNA", at positions 338 to 795 of the family's 1533-position model. The record is from RNAcentral.